UGGGGGAUAUUGCACAAUGGGGGGAACCCUGAUGCAGCGACGCCGCGUGAGGGAAGACGGUUUUCGGAUUGUAAACCUCUGUCUUUAGGGACGAAAAAAUGACGGUACCUAAAGAGGAAGCCACGGCUAACUACGUGCCAGCAGCCGCGGUAAUACGUAGGUGGCAAGCGUUGUCCGGAAUUACUGGGUGUAAAGGGAGCGUAGGCGGGGAGGCAAGUUGAAUGUUUAAACUAUCGGCUCAACUGAUAGUCGCGUUCAAAACUGCCACUCUUGAGUGCAGUAGAGGUAGGCGGAAUUCCUAGUGUAGCGGUGAAAUGCGUAGAUAUUAGGAGGAACACCAGUGGCGAAGGCGGCCUACUGGGCUGUAACUGACGCUGAGGCUCGAAAGCGUGGGUAGCAAACAGGAUUAGAUACC
This 415-nucleotide ribosomal RNA is filed under the name uncultured bacterium. RNAcentral's name for it is "bacterial SSU rRNA". It matches the Rfam family "Bacterial small subunit ribosomal RNA", at positions 355 to 786 of the family's 1533-position model. The record is from RNAcentral.